Molecule: ribosomal RNA, 508 nt
Filed under: uncultured bacterium
Lineage: Bacteria
Description: partial 16S ribosomal RNA
Rfam family: Bacterial small subunit ribosomal RNA
Source: RNAcentral
CGAACGCUGGCGGCGUGCUUACCACAUGCAAGUCGAACGAAGAGCGAUGGAAGCUUGCUUCUAUCAAUCUUAGUGGCGAACGGGUGAGUAACGCGUAAUCAACCUGCCCUUCAGAGGGGGACAACAGUUGGAAACGACUGCUAAUACCGCAUACGAUCUAAUCUCGGCAUCGAGGAUAGAUGAAAGGUGGCCUCUACAUGUAAGCUAUCACUGAAGGAGGGGAUUGCGUCUGAUUAGCUAGUUGGAGGGGUAACGGCCCACCAAGGCGAUGAUCAGUAGCCGGUCUGAGAGGAUGAACGGCCACAUUGGGACUGAGACACGGCCCAGACUCCUACGGGAGGCAGCAGUGGGGAAUCUUCCGCAAUGGACGAAAGUCUGACGGAGCAACGCCGCGUGAGUGAUGACGGCCUUCGGGUUGUAAAGCUCUGUUAAUCGGGACGAAAGGCCUUCUUGCGAACAGUUAGAAGGAUUGACGGUACCGGAAUAGAAAGCCACGGCUAACUACGUG